UGAAUACGAGACGCUAAGGCGUCGAAGUAGUGUAUGUCAUACUUCCAAGAAAAGCUUCACUGUCAUAAGUAAAAAAUGCCUGUACCAUAACCGACACAGGUGGGUAGGUAGAGUAUACUAAGGGGCGCGAGAUAACUCUCUCUAAGGAACUCGGCAAAAUAACUCCGUAACUUCGGGAGAAGGAGUACCUUAUUCUAUAAGGUUGCAAUAACAAGAUCCAAGCAACUGUUUAUCAAAAACACAGGUCUCCGCUAAGUCGUAAGACGAUGUAUGGGGGCUGACGCCUGCCCAGUGCCAGAAGGUUAAAGAAGUCGGUUAGCAUUAGCGAAGCUGGUAACUGAAGCCCUGGUGAACGGCGGCCGUAACAAUAACGGUCCUAAGGUAGCGAAAUUCCUUGUCGGGUAAGUUCCGACCCGCACGAAAGGCGUAAUGAUUUGGAUACUGUCUCGGAGAGGGGCUCGGUGAAAUAGACUUGUCUGUGAAGAUGCGGACUACCUGCACCAGGACAGAAAGACCCUAUGAAGCUUUACUGUAACUUGAAAUUGAAAUUGGACUUUAUUCGGGAUUAUUGGAGCCAUCAGUGAGAUACCACUCUUGUAAUGUUAGAUUUCUAACUUUGAAUCAUUAUCUGGUCAAAGGACAGUUUCAGGCGGGCAGUUUGACUGGGGCGGUCGCCUCCCAAACGGUAACGGAGGCGUACAAAGGUUUCCUCUGAACGGGUAGAAAUCGUAUCUAGAGUGUAAAGGCAUAAGGAAGCUUGACUGUGAGACCUACAAGUCGAACAGGGACGAAAGUCGGUCUUAGUGAUCUGACGGUACUGAGUGGAAAGGCCGUCACUCAACGGAUAAAAGUUACUCUAGGAUAACAGGCUGAUCUCCCCCAAGAGUUCACAUCGACGGGGAGGUUUGGCACCUCGAUGUCGGCUCAUCGCAUCCUGGGGCGGUAGUACGUCCCAAGGGUUGGGCUGUUCGCCCAUGAAAGCGGUACGCGAGCUGGGUUCAGAACGUCGUGAGACAGUUCGGUCCAUAUCCGGUGUAGGCGUUAGAAUAUUGAGAGGAGCCUUCUUUAGUACGAGAGGACCGAGAAGGACAUACCUCUGGUGUACCAGUUAUCGUGCCAACGGUAAACGCUGGGUAGCUAUGUAUGGAGUGGAUAACCGCUGAAAGCAUCUAAGUGGGAAGCCCACCUCAAGAUAAGUAUUCUCAUC
Molecule: ribosomal RNA, 1207 nt
Filed under: metagenome
Description: bacterial LSU rRNA
Rfam family: Bacterial large subunit ribosomal RNA
Source: RNAcentral